RNAcentral lists this ribosomal RNA (425 nucleotides) under uncultured bacterium. RNAcentral's name for it is "partial 16S ribosomal RNA". It matches the Rfam family "Bacterial small subunit ribosomal RNA", at positions 354 to 796 of the family's 1533-position model. The record is from RNAcentral.
GUGGGGAAUAUUGGACAAUGGGCGCAAGCCUGAUCCAGCAAUGCCGCGUGGGUGAAGAAGGUCUUCGGAUCGUAAAGCCCUUUCGACAGGGACGAUGAUGACGGUACCUGUAGAAGAAGCCCCGGCUAACUUCGUGCCAGCAGCCGCGGUAAUACGAAGGGGGCUAGCGUUACUCGGAAUUACUGGGCGUAAAGGGCGCGUAGGCGGCUCUGUUAGUCAGGCGUGAAAUUCCUGGGCUUAACCUGGGGACUGCGCUUGAUACUGUAGGGCUUGAGGCCGAGAGAGGGUGGUGGAAUUCCCAGUGUAGAGGUGAAAUUCGUAGAUAUUGGGAAGAACACCGGUGGCGAAGGCGACCACCUGGCUCGGUUCUGACGCUGAGGCGCGACAGCGUGGGGAGCAAACAGGAUUAGAAACCCCGGUAGUCC